This 6934-nucleotide unclassified non-coding RNA is filed under the name Dimorphilus gyrociliatus. RNAcentral's name for it is "dgyrCDS2322". The record is from RNAcentral. Lineage: Eukaryota; Metazoa; Annelida; Polychaeta; Dinophilidae.
AAUUGAAUGAAUAUAGUGGCGGAGUCAGAAUAAGAACUUGAGAAAUAUUUUAAGAUUUUCUGAUUAGUGAGAGAAAAAGAAUAAUCAUGAAAUUUAGGAAUUGCCUAUAUUUGUUACUUUUCCUCUUGUGUUUUAUGGAGGUGAAAAGUGAAUGUAUUGGAACAACUUACGGCAAUAAUGAAUUCGAUCAGACAGCUUUAAGCUUGAUAUUGCUGGAUGGAGAGUCAACUAAUAAUCCCAAUAAUAACCUACAGGGAGUAUACGAAGGGAAAGAAUACACUCUAAAAGGAAAAGCUCUUUUGCCAGAAACUAAAGCAGCUAAUUAUAAACUUCAACUGAUUGUCCCAUCGACUGAAACAGUCAGAAGAAUUAAUUGUGAGAGUUUUAUAGUUGGUUCUUCUAGUGAUAUCUGUGGAGCAGAAUAUCCACUUAUUAAUUAUACAUAUUUCAAAUCAAUUACAAAUAAUACGGGAUCAAAUAUAGAGAAAUACUCAAAUACUUAUACAAAUUUGGUAAAAGAAGCAAUAGAUGUUUUAACAAUUGAUUAUGGGUGUAUUAAUGUCACUUCCGAUGGUACUCAAGACUCCAAAGAUGAAAUCGUAUUUAACAUAAAGUUUAUAGUAAAUGCUGGAUUGCAAAGCUCAAAUUUAACUUUUUAUUUGAGACUUUUCGUUGGAAAUAAAUGGAUUAAAACAGUUGGAACUCUUUUAUCUAUCAGUCCUUUGGGGCCUAAUUUACGAUCUACAUUAUCAUUGCUAAAUUACGCACCAGUUCAGAGUGGCAACAUUCUACGGUAUAGAGGAUUAAUCUACCAUUUACAGGGGACCACAGAAGAUGCAGUAAAUCUUAGAAUUUCUGCGUCAUCUAUAAAUGUUGGUGGCGUAGUUUUAACUAACACAAUUCGCUACAAAUUACCCAAUGGAGAAUUUGUUAAUAAAACCUCCCUUAACCCAAUAAUAUCCGGAAUUACGCUAGCAAAAACAUUUUUCUUAUCAAAUCCAAUUAUUAUUGAGUUCCAAGUAGAAGUCAACGAUAACCUUUUAUUGGGAGAUAAAAGUUUCUUUCAUGCGUCUUUAAGCUCUGACUACCGUAAUAACAAGGGGAUUCAAUUUUAUCGGGCCGAUUCAACUUCAACACCCCUAAUGCCGCUUCUAUUGGAUAGUACUCUUCCAUCAGAUGUAGAUUUACCAUCCGUUUAUCCAUUGGGCUUGACUCAUACAAUUGUAAAAAAGUUUAAAAUUCCGAGGGGAUCUUUGAACAACUUUAAAUUCACUGCUUCUUUUUCAACAUCUUCCUAUCCUGAUACACCGGUCAAGUUUAUAAACAGUUCCCUCGAUUUACCUUCUUACAUUAAUACUACAAACGCAAAACCACUCGUCGUGGAUGGAACAGGAUUCACAGAAUCAAAAAUCUUCAACCGUCGCAGAAAAAGGGCUCUAACCGUAACGAAAGAAUUUACAAGAGAUAUGGGUAGUUUUGUUAAUCCCUCUACAUCACCAGCUACUCCUGCUGAAGCAGAGUUUAGAGCAACCUUUGUAGCUGCUCAGAAUGUCCUACCUGGAGGAACAAUUUCAGGGAAUGCUCUUUUUUCUUACAACUCAAACUCAGCACCCCUAGCUAGUAGAUCUGGUUUGGUUGUACAGCCUAGUCUUCAGAUUGUGAAUAAAACAAUUGAGGUUAUAGACACCCAAACAUUUCCUAACACUAUUCGUGUUAAUCUUACUGUUGAGCAUACAUCAACAUCAACGGGAGAUGCACAAUUUAUUGAGCUAAGAGAUGGUCACUCGUCUCUCAUAGUUUUUUCGGAUCGCUUUAUUGUCAAUCCUACUGGAGCGUUAGAACAGUCAUCAGGAGUCGUGACUGCCUUUAUCUUAUCUAUUGAAAACUUGCCUUUGGGAAAUCAGCUAGAGUUGUCAUUUAAAGCCCAACCGAAAAAUGAGGGUAAAGAUCUGGCAAAUGGGAUCACAAGAAUUAAUUCCACAAUCUAUUAUAAUUCUACAGGAGGUAAUAAUGCUUAUCGCUAUGGAGCUCUCCAAGCCUCGACAUGCAUCGAAAAAGUUAAUAUUGAAACUUCAGAUCUAUUUACUGACCAUGCUGUAACCGUUGUUAUGCUCCUGGUUGGUUUGAUUGUUGGUGCAUUGUUGAUCAUCCUAGCGCUAUUUAUCUAUAAAAAGUGUAGAAAUACACUACCAGGGGGUCUCAUCAGACCAGAAAGUGCUGUAGACCGAAUUCUUUUACACGAGAAUGAGAGAAAUUUUGAAAACUUGAAAAAUGACCAUCUUCUCUCAAACAUUUUUUCAAAAGCAAAGGGUUUAGCAUCUUCUGUACUUGGACAAGGAGUAAAUUUCUUUUUGUGCAUCAAAGACAGCUUAUCCAUGAACAACUGUGAGCAAGAAUACGAAAUUGCAGAAGCAAGAGUUUUAGAAGUUCAAAUAGAAGAAGAAAGAAAUAAAGCAGCAAUAGACUCAACCAAGUCAAUGUUAUACUCGUUGCAAAAGAAUAAAGAUAUCUCACCAAAAAUCCAACAGCAGUAUAUGCAAAAAUUUGAAAGAAAUGUCCGGAAUUUUAAUAACAAUAUGUUUAAAGAAUACGAAAUGGAUGUUAUCAAAGUUGUUAAACCGAUAGCAGUUGAAAACAGGGCACAGGAACAGUUAUUGAUAGAUAAGCACAAAAGGGAAGAAAAUGCGAUGGAAGAAAAGUGGCAGAACUUACCAGAAGAGGACAGAAGGGAGCUUCGAAACCUCAUGAUUGAAAGGCAUAAGAAAGAAAUUUUGGAAUUACAAUUUAAAUUAAAUUUAGAUAUCGAUGUUGCUGUUGAAAGAAUACGAAAGGAAAACGUAUUACGAGCAAGAAUUGCCCUAAAAGAACAACAACAGAAUUUAUUCCAAGAUUUAAAGCAAGAUAAUCAUAUUUCAAACGAACAACUGGAGUGGAUAUUAGGCAAGCAUCGCGAGAAUCAGCUUGAAUUGGAUCGUACAUUUGACGAACAGUUAUCUAAGCAAAAAUUUAUCCUUGAAGAAAAACUUAACCGGCGAAAAAUGCUUCUUCAAUUAGCCGAAAACAGGGAUGUCGAAGAUGCUGAGGUUUUAUCUAAAAUUCGAAAGCAAGAAAUUCAAAUUGUAAAAGAAAGCAGAAAGAUCUUGUCUCCUGAUACCGCAAGAGAGAUGAUAAAAGAAAUAAAUGAAGAUUCUAAGAAAAUCAAAUCGAAAGUUGAAAAUGAACGUGAUCGAUUAGAAGGUAAUCUUCAACAGAAACUCUCGGACAGAAGACGAAAAAGAUUAGAGGAGCUGAGGAAAAAACAAGACAUGGAAAUUAAAGAACUAGAAAAAAGCCAGGAGAAGGAAUUGAUUGACGCAUCAAUCGAUCCGGUUGAACUCGUGAAAGUCAGACAAAAUAUGAUAACCAGUCAUAAAGCAGAAAUUGCUCAUCUUGAGUGGGAAAUUGAUCAAGAAGAGGCGAUAGAAUUUGGAAAAUUGAGAGAAAACUUAAUGAAUGAUGCGCGAAAGGAAUUUGAAGAUAGAAAAUUACGAACUUCCGCUAAUGUAGUUGACCAAGGUUUUGAUAAAGAAGAUGCUGAACGUUUGUUAAGAAGACAUCAAGAAGAAUUACGAAAGUUUUCGGAACUGAAAGAAUCUGAACGAGAUCAGCAAAAACUGAAGCUAAAAGAAAAAUUGGAAAAGAGAAGGCUGGAGCGCGGACGAGAGCGACAGCAAGAAUUACAGACAGAGGAAGAUAUUCGGCAGUAUGAAGAACAAGUAGUUCGAAAAUUAUGCGAUGGCCAGAUAGCUCUCUCAGCAGAUGAAAGGCAGAAAAUAAUUCAAGAACACGAAAAGCAAAUGGUUAAUAUAGAGAAUAACAUCGCCUUGUCAAAAUUGCAACAACAACAAGCACUUCAAGAAAAGAUUGCCAAUAGACGCAGAAGGGAAAAAAAUAAUCUUCAAAAGAAACAAAAACAAGAAGAAGCAAAGUUUCAAGCUAACGCUGACGACGAUGAUGAUGAUUAUGAUAGUAGGCAAGUAGAUUUAAUGAAAAAACAGGCGGAAGAGCAGUUGGAGCUUUUGCGAAGAGGUUCGGCUCUUGAAGCUGAUGAAGUGCAAAAUGAGCUUGAUGCAAUCCAUGAGUCUAUGAUAAGGGAAAGGAGCACUAUACUCAAAGAGCAAGAAGAAAGGCUAGCGUCUAUGUUAGCUGAUAUGCAGUUCAAAAAAGCCAGGGAAAUGGCCAAAAUGGAAGAACAACAGAAAGCUAUUAAUACUUUAAAAGCAAAUAUAAUGGAUGAUUUAUCGGAAAAAGGUGUUCUUGGAGAUCCAAAAUGUAGAGAGGUUAUAGAAAAUUAUCAAAGAGAUCAGCAGAAAAUUAACGAUGUUCUAGAUGAACAACGACAGAAGCAAGAGAAAGUCAGUUUUCAAUAUUUUUAAGACAUACAUUUCAAGUUAUACUUAAUAUCCAUUUCAAUAUAUAUUCUGCGAUCAUUAAUAUUUAGACACUAAGGGAAAAAAUAGAAAAUCGGGUAAAAAGACGGGAAAAGACGUACUUAGAUUAUCUUGAAGACAAUACAGAGGUGUGACUGAAUGUCACAAUUUUAUAUAGCAUGAUAUAUUAUUGCACUUUACACUUCCAAUAUUAAGCCUUAAUAACUCAACGAUAUAGAAAUUCUUAAACCCAAUAUUUUGUUUUGACAGCGACUGAGGGAGCAACUAGACAAAAGAUUGAGAAGAAAGGAAGAAACUUUAGCUAUCUCUCAUGAAAAACAAAAAGAUAUUGAAAAAGGGCGAGCAGAAAACGCACUAGGCGCAAAAAUUCGACUAGCCUUCUUAAAAAGUAGACAGUUAACCGAAAUGGAGGAUUUUAGAAAUCGUAUUCAGAAAGAAAUUGACCAAACUUUGGAAGAAAUGCAGAGGCAGAACGACUUGAAGAGAAAAGAAGAAAUUCAAAAGCAGGAAUUAAAAUUUAUUGCGGGCUUGGUAAAACUUGGUCAAUUUUCUAAACAAGAAUUGAUCAAUGUUGUAGACAUACUGUUUAGUACCAAAACUGUAGAAGAGAGAGAGAGUCUCUUGAGGGAAAUUUGCCAGAAUUAUAAUCCGCCUUCAGACGAUUCCCAUCUUCAAGGAAGCAAUGACAACCGAAGACCUAGUACACUUGACGACAGAAUCAAAGCUUCAACAAUUGAUCUGGUAAAAUUGGACAAUAAAAAUCGGUUUGUUUAUUUUCAUUUUUUAAGUAUUUAGGCAAUACAUUUAGCAAAAAUAAUAAAUCUAGCCAACGUCGUGCUAUGCCAAGCUUGAACUAACACCAUUUGGUGGAUAUUAUAUUAUCAGCUAAAUAUUCUUAAUCUGAAAUUUUAUUCUAUUCGACGAUCUAAUAACGCAUGCCUUCUAUGCCCUGCUGCAAUAUUAACGUAACCAUGAAUAUAUUUUAUACAGGACAUCUGUAAAGAACUAAAGAUAAAAGCUUGGCUAGGCAUGUAAAAAGUUUGAAACACUUUGGUCAACUUAACUUACAAAUUUCAGAAUAGCUUUAUUAACGUGCAGUUUUUUCAUUCAAUUUGAAUGUAAGAUUCUGUGCACUUGAAUUUUUUAACUUUCACAAUUUAAUAGUCCACAUUUUUAUUUACUUGUUGAGCUUAUUCAAAUGUUUAUUCAAAUGUUUAUUCCAAUUAGGAUUUGACUGUAAACGAAAUUUAAUUUAUUGAUUGCACACUUGCCUGAAUUUCCUUUGCGAUUAAUUGUUUUACUCUUUUCUGGACGCUUUCAAAUAUUUUCUUAAAUUUAAACCUUCAGAUCAUUUCAUAGAAAGUCAUCUCGUCGAAAAAGCAGCCACUAUUCAAACAUAGAAGAGGAAUACGAAGACAGCCAACAAGAGAACUAUUAUGAUCAAGGCGACUUAUAUAUGGAAGGAAAACCAAAAAAUCGAUUGCCUCCCAUGGACAGACCUCGAACGGGUAGGAAGAAAAAAGGACUUCGAGGCAGGAAAAAUUAUUCAGAUGUUUAAUAGUAGCUGUGAUAAUUAAUCUUCUGUUAAAAUUUUUAUACCAUGCCAUUUUGCAUAAUGCUCAAAAUUGACUAUACUAUCAUUUAGGAUCUAGCCAGUGUUAUAAGAAAUACAAAAUAGUUUAAUCAAGAAGUUCUUUUCAUAUUUAUUAUUUUAUACUGAGAUUGUUGGAAUUCUUGUGGUAAUUCACAUUUUUUAAUGUGAUUAAUUUCAAAGUCAUUAUUUAUUAGAUCAAAAAACACAUCCUCUCCUAAUCCCCUUGGUUUGUAUGAUAUCCAGAUAGCAGUUUCUUUGUUGCUCAAAUCCUUCAAAGCUUGAAUGAGGUCGUUUAAGUUUUCUCUUUCAUAAAUCACGUCUGAUGCUAAUAUAACCUGAAAAUUUGAAAAGCUUUUGAACUGCUUUGAUUUACCCCAAGUAUAAUCGUCUACAAAAAUCUUGUCACAAUUUAGAGAUUUAUUGCUUGCAAUGGAUUUAACGUUCUUUGUGAUGCAUGCGCGAGUGUGAGACAAGACUUGCGGCAAAUCAGUGGCAAUAACUUUCGCUCCAAGCAACCAGGCUGCUAGACUAACGAGACCACAACCAGAUCCUAAUUCUAUGACAUUUUUAGCUUUCCAAUAACAAGAACCAAAAUGGAUUUUCGAUUCUAAGAAUUUGGCUAGUAAAUAAGAGCCAUCCCAUAGCUUAUAUGCCGUGUUCUGUCGUUGUGUAAUAUUAAUAUUUGUGUCUUGAUAGAAUGUUAAUCUGUUGUUAAAGAGAGAUAUAUGAAUUUCAUCUGUACGGUAAUCAACUCUUGGAUUAUCGUAUUUCCACAGAACUAACGACAUGCUUGACCGAUAAUUGAGGAAUAAAAAUAUUUAAAAUGGCGGAAAAAGUGAACUUUCUUUUUUGAUUUCAUAUCUAAUAUAAUAAUUAUCUGAAAUAUCUAAUCAAGAUCUGUAUUUUAAAA